UACGUAGGCAGCGAGCGUUGUUCGGAGUUACUGGGCGUAAAGAGUGCGUAGGCGGUUUUCUAAGUUUGGGGUGAAAUCUCCCGGCUCAACUGGGAGGGUGCGCCGAAGACUGGAAGGCUUGAGUAUGGGAGAGGUAAGCGGAAUUCCUGGUGUAGCGGUGAAAUGCGUAGAUAUCAGGAGGAACACCUGCGGUGUAGACGGCUUACUGGACCAUAACUGACGCUGAGGCACGAAAGCGUGGGUAGCAAACAGG
RNAcentral lists this ribosomal RNA (253 nucleotides) under uncultured bacterium. Its description in RNAcentral is "partial 16S ribosomal RNA". It matches the Rfam family "Bacterial small subunit ribosomal RNA", at positions 524 to 776 of the family's 1533-position model. The record is from RNAcentral.